GACGAACGCUGGCGGCGCGCCUAACACAUGCAAGUCGAACGAGCGAGAGAGAGCUUGCUUUCUCGAGCGAGUGGCGAACGGGUGAGUAACGCGUGAGGAACCUGCCUCAAAGAGGGGGACAACAGUUGGAAACGACUGCUAAUACCGCAUAAGCCCACGGGUCGGCAUCGACCAGAGGGAAAAGGAGCAAUCCGCUUUGAGAUGGCCUCGCGUCCGAUUAGCUAGUUGGUGAGGUAACGGCCCACCAAGGCAACGAUCGGUAGCCGGACUGAGAGGUUGAACGGCCACAUUGGGACUGAGACACGGCCCAGACUCCUACGGGAAGCAGCAGUGUGGAAUAUUGCACAAUGGGGGAAACCCUGAUGCAGCGACGCCGCGUGGAGGAAGAAGGUCUUCGGAUUGUAAACUCCUGUUGUUGGGGAAGAUAAUGACGGUACCCAACAAGGAAGUGACGGCUAACUACGUG
Molecule: ribosomal RNA, 466 nt
Filed under: uncultured bacterium
Lineage: Bacteria
Description: partial 16S ribosomal RNA
Rfam family: Bacterial small subunit ribosomal RNA
Source: RNAcentral